CCUACGGGUGGCAGCAGUGAGGAAUAUUGGUCAAUGGCCGGAAGGCUGAACCAGCCAAGUCGCGUGAAGGAAGAAGGAUCUAUGGUUUGUAAACUUCUUUUAUAGGGGAAUAAAGGUAUCCACGUGUGGAUAUUUACAUGUACCCUAUGAAUAAGCAUCGGCUAACUCCGUGCCAGCAGCCGCGGUAAUAUGGAGGAUGCGAGCGUUGUCCGGAUUUAUUGGGUUUAAAGGGUGCGUAGGGGGGCUUUUAAGUCACCGGUAAAAAUUCGGGGCUCAACCCCGUCCGGCCGUUGAAACUGGGGGCCUGGAGUGGGCGAGAAGAAGGCGGAAUGCGUGGUGUAGCGGUGAAAUGCAUAGAUAUCACGAAGAACCCCGAUUGCGAAGGCAGCCUUCCGGCGCCCUACUGACGCUGAGGCACGAAAGUGCGGGGAUCGAACAGGAUUAGAUACCCCAGUAGUC
Molecule: ribosomal RNA, 459 nt
Filed under: uncultured bacterium
Lineage: Bacteria
Description: partial 16S ribosomal RNA
Rfam family: Bacterial small subunit ribosomal RNA
Source: RNAcentral